CCUACGGGAGGCAGCAGUGAGGAAUAUUGGUCAAUGGUCGGGAGACUGAACCAGCCAAGCCGCGUGAGGGAUGAAGGUACAGAGUAUCGUAAACCUCUUUUGUCAGGGAACAAAGGCGGGGACGUGUCCCCGGAUGAGUGUACCUGAAGAAAAAGCAUCGGCUAACUCCGUGCCAGCAGCCGCGGUAAUACGGAGGAUGCGAGCGUUAUCCGGAUUUAUUGGGUGUAAAGGGUGCGCAGGCGGUCUGUUAAGUCAGCGGUAAAAGCCCGGGGCUCAACCCCGGCCCGCCGUUGAAACUGGCAGUCUCGAGUUGGAGAGAAGUAUGCGGAAUGCGCGGUGUAGCGGUGAAAUGCAUAGAUAUCGCGCAGAACUCCGAUUGCGAAGGCAGCAUGCCGGCUCCACACUGACGCUGAGGCACGAAAGCGUGGGUAUCGAACAGGAUUAGAUACCCUUGUAGUC
This 459-nucleotide ribosomal RNA is filed under the name uncultured bacterium. Its description in RNAcentral is "partial 16S ribosomal RNA". It matches the Rfam family "Bacterial small subunit ribosomal RNA", at positions 338 to 795 of the family's 1533-position model. The record is from RNAcentral.